AUCUUGACCUCAGAUCAGGCAAGGCUACCCGCUGAAUUUAAGCAUAUUAAUAAGCGGAGGAAAAGAAACUAACAAGGAUUCCCUCAGUAACAGCGAGUGAAGCGGGAACAGCUCAAAUUUGAAAUCUCCGGCGCUUGCGUCGGCGAGUUGUAGUUGCGAGAAGCACUUUCUAGGCGGAUCGGUGGUGCYUAAGUUGCUUGGAACAGUACGUCAUAGAGGGUGACAACCCCG
RNAcentral lists this ribosomal RNA (231 nucleotides) under Goniopora somaliensis. RNAcentral describes it as "partial 28S rRNA". It matches the Rfam family "Eukaryotic large subunit ribosomal RNA", at positions 1 to 223 of the family's 3401-position model. Lineage: Eukaryota; Metazoa; Cnidaria; Anthozoa; Scleractinia; Poritidae. The record is from RNAcentral.